CGUGUCUAUCGUACCUUGUUGCUUCGGCGGGCCCGCCGCCUUCGACGGCCGCCGGGGAGGCCUUGCGCCCCCGGGCCCGCGCCCGCCGAAGACCCCAACAUGAACGCUGUUCUGAAAGUAUGCAGUCUGAGUUGAUUAUCGUAAUCAGUUAAAACUUUCAACAACGGAUCUCUUGGUUCCGGCAUCGAUGAAGAACGCAGCGAAAUGCGAUAAGUAAUGUGAAUUGCAGAAUUCAGUGAAUCAUCGAGUCUUUGAACGCACAUUGCGCCCCCUGGUAUUCCGGGGGGCAUGCCUGUCCGAGCGUCAUUGCUGCCCUCAAGCACGGCUUGUGUGUUGGGCCCCCGUCCCCCUCUCCCGGGGGACGGGCCCGAAAGGCAGCGGCGGCACCGCGUCCGGUCCUCGAGCGUAUGGGGCUUUGUCACCUGCUCUGUAGGCCCGGCCGGCGCCAGCCGACACCCAACUUUAUUUUUCUAAGGUUGACCUCGGAUCAGGUAGGGAUACCCGCUGAACUUAAGCAUAUCAAUAAGCUUGAGG
Molecule: ribosomal RNA, 534 nt
Filed under: Aspergillus fumigatus
Lineage: Eukaryota; Fungi; Ascomycota; Eurotiomycetes; Eurotiales; Aspergillaceae
Description: eukaryotic LSU rRNA
Rfam family: 5.8S ribosomal RNA (bases 153-306)
Source: RNAcentral